Molecule: ribosomal RNA, 443 nt
Filed under: uncultured bacterium
Lineage: Bacteria
Description: partial 16S ribosomal RNA
Rfam family: Bacterial small subunit ribosomal RNA
Source: RNAcentral
CCUACGGGAGGCUGCAGUGGGGGAUAUUGGACAAUGGGGGGAACCCUGAUCCAGCGACGCCGCGUGAGUGAAGAAGUAUUUCGGUAUGUAAAGCUCUGUCAGCAGGGAAGAAAGAAAUGACGGUACCUGACCAAGAAGCCCCGGCUAACUACGUGCCAGCAGCCGCGGGAAUACGUAGGGGGCAAGCGUUAUCCGGAAUUACUGGGUGUAAAGGGAGCGUAGACGGUUAAGUAAGUCUGGAGUGAAAGGCCGGGGCCCAACCCCGGGACUGCUCUGGAAACUAUUGAACUUGAGUGCAGGAGAGGUAAGCGGAAUUCCUAGUGUAGCGGUGAAAUGCGUAGAUAUUAGGAGGAACACCAGUGGCGAAGGCGGCUUACUGGACUGUAACUGACGUUGAGGCUCGAAAGCGUGGGGAGCAAACAGGAUUAGAUACCCGUGUAGUC